This 1014-nucleotide long non-coding RNA is filed under the name Coturnix japonica (Japanese quail). RNAcentral's name for it is "lncRNA (ENSCJPG00005015052.1)". Lineage: Eukaryota; Metazoa; Chordata; Aves; Galliformes; Phasianidae. The record is from RNAcentral.
AUGGAGGCAACGCAAGCCCCAGCCAGCCCAGCGCUGCAGGCUCACAACCCCUUGCAGCAGGAUGUGCCCCAGCAAGCCCUGCACGGCUCCUGGGAGCCGGAGGGCUCUCCUGCAGCCAGAGAGGAAAAACCCAGAGCAUCCCCGCAUGGGAGAGCUCGGCUCCACGGCUCUCAGCGCACCUGGAACGGGCGCAGCUCAGCGCAGGGGAUGGGGCACAACACGGGGCUGCUGCCUGCGAGCUUCCGCCGCAGGAAAACCGCUCGCAGGGCUCGGCACAGCACAGAGCACAACUUCCCCACCGAGACGGGAAGUCAGCACGGGUCGGGCUGCACGUCCCAUGCAGCAGCCGGAGCCCCGGGGCAGACGGGCUGCAGUGCAAUGAGCCCACCCCGUUACAAGCACCGAGUUUCUUUAAGCGAACCGAAUCAGCCGUUCAGCUCAUCAAAGCACACAGCAACACCGGCACGAAACACGCUGCGGAUCAGCUCCUUUUCCCUUUCCAAGGAGCGUUUCCAGCCCCAAGGAAUAAAGACGGAGAGCCGCCAUGAUCCGCCCCCCACACCCGGCUCGCUCCGCUCGGUGCCCGCACACGCAGCUCUGAGCCCCGCAGACAGAGCCGGGGUUAUGGGGGGGGGGGGAGGGGGCUGCAACCGGAUCCCAGCGCGGCCCCGCUCCGUGUGCGCCGCGUCCCCCCGCACAGCUGCGGCAACGGGAAACGGCACGGGGCGGGGGAUCCUCAGCCCGCAGCCCCCGGCCGUGCCACCCACCCACCCACCAACGGCGCUGGUUGCGUUGCUUGUUUUUUUUGCCCUAUUUUUCGCUUUAUUUUCCCUAUUUUCUCCCCGUCCUUCGCUCCGGUACACGAACACCGCUCGUUCGCUGUGCGCACAAAGGCCGCUCCCGGCCGCGAUACCCGCGGGGACACGGGAUGGGAAGCGGAAAUCGCCGCUCGGCGCCGCUUUGUUCCCCCCCACCCCAGCCGGGACCCCCCAAACACCGGGACCCCCCCCAUAA